Molecule: long non-coding RNA, 1930 nt
Filed under: Danio rerio (zebrafish)
Lineage: Eukaryota; Metazoa; Chordata; Actinopteri; Cypriniformes; Danionidae
Description: lncRNA (ENSDARG00000117469.1)
Source: RNAcentral
GUUUUAAUAAAUCGGCUUUACAGGUUCAUACAGAUAGUCUAUCACACUUAAAAAGACGCUUGUUUUUGUCCACCUAGUGGCAUAACAGUGUGGUUUGCAUUAUAAAUGGUAAAAUUAAUCAUUCAGAAAAAAGAUUUGAAUCAUUGAGAACUGAAUCGCUUCACGUCGCCGAUUCGAAUGCUUGUCAGUCAACUGUCACCAACCGUCUUCUGAAGGUAAAGUACUUCUUAAGUUAUUUUAUUGUUAAAGUGCUCUAAUUACUGCUCUGUUUUAACGUUAAAUCAGUAAAUUGCUUUAUAACAUCAAAACAAAUGCUUAUUUUAUUUUUAAAGUCGAGAUCAUAUUAGUAAUUACUAGCACAUUGCUAACGUAAUAUACCCAGACCUAACAAUUUAUACCUGUUAACAUUAUAUUGUUAACUUACUUAACGUACCUUCCAGAAACCCCUGAAGAGAUGGAGGAGGAAUUAGCUAACCCGUCCAAGCGGAUAAGGACAGCAAAAGUCCUCAACCAGGAUGAAGAAUAGGACGAGAAAGGAACUGAAAAAGAAAAAGGAGCUCUGAAAGAGAAAAACAAAACAUUAAGGACUGCUGAAGCCUCAGAAAAAAAGAAAAACCCUUCUAAAAAUUCUAGAAGACAGAGAGGAAGAGAGAGGCCCCACUUUUUGAAAUGGGUCCUCCCCCCCCCCCAAAAAAACACAGAUGACAGAGAUCACAGAUUUUCUGACAGCGAAGAUGAAGUAGUAACUAUUCUUCUUCAAGAAAAUAUAGAUCAAUGAAGACACAAAAUCAAGAGCUUUAAGAAGAGCUAGAGAAAUGCACAAACAAGGAGUCGAGCCAGGUCCAGUCAAUAAUAUGGUGAUUUUGUCUGCGAGGCCCGAAGAGAGGAAACUUGCUGAAGGAUUAAGGAGUACACUUUAUAAAGGUGUCACCAGUGAGCUGCCUGAUCUUUCAGUCCUUCAAGUGGCAGAGAUUUACAAACACUUUGCCAGUUUUACAGCCCCUUUGGUCACCACAAUUGGAAUGUUGAGUGAGGAUUUUUGGGUGGAUUCUGCCUUCGGAAAAAUUCAAGUUGGAAUAGUCCUGUCAUACCAACAGCCAGCUGCAACAAACCGCAACAUUGUUCCUCAUCGUGAUGCCUCACCAACACCACCACUGCCACUAGAUUGUUACAGCCACCUGUCUGCUUGUUUUUUCAUAAUAAUCAGAAACAACUUCACAUGAGGUCAUUGACCAUAACUUCAGAAAUGGCUCACUAUGUUAAGCAAGCCACCAGAUAUCAGAGUGCAUGUCUUGAUUGGCAUUCUGUCAGGAAAACCCGGAUAACGUCGUCACGCUUCAGUAAGAUGUCUGUCAUGUGCAUGGCCAGACCUCAGCUGAACACCUGGCCGAAAGAAUCCACAAGGAACUCGUCAGACAGCCGACAUGAAGCGAGGACUUCAAAUGGAGUCUGAAGCAGUUAUGGAGUACUGCUUGCUGCGAGAGGUAAAUUACCAGCCAUGUGGAUUUUUAAUUCACACUGAUGCUCCUUGGCUGGGGUCCCCUCCAGAUGGGAUCAUUUUUGACCACAACGAGCACCAUGUUUUAGGCCUUCUAUAAAUAAAAUGUCCCAACGUCAAAAGUUUUGUUGACUGUUCUUACCUCAAAUUUCACAAUGGCACACCAGAACUGAAACAGCAACAUGCCUACACUGUUAACCCUUACUGUAGAUUAUGCAGUAAAUAACUGUAAAAUAGCCAGUGUUUUGCUGUAAUAAAAGGAAACAGUAUUUUACUGUAAAAGGAGCAGUAUUUGUAUGAAAUUUUGUAGUGCAAAGCAUAAAUUACAGUAAUUUACUUUAUGUACCCAUUACAGAUAGUUACUGUGAUAAUAAAUGGUAAAUUACUGCUCAACCAUUAUUACCCCAUGUACUCUGAUGCUUUAUGUUGCUA